UACCAUGCAUCAUCAUCAUCAUCAUCAUGGGUGUUUAUCUGGUUUUCGCUGUGUUCAUGAUCAAGUUUAGCUCAGGACUUUCACCUCUGUCCAAGGUUCGAUGUGAAGAAAACCUCGAAAUCAAGAGAUCAAAUGAACAGAGAGAUGGUAUCUGGAGUGAAUGUGUGUACUCCAGGGUGAAGCUACACUGAACUGAAGCCGUUCCGACUUUGAUGCCACAUGUCUAGACAUGAACUUAUUACUGUAGCUUUGAAAUGUUUAGGCUGUUCUCUAGCUCUUUCUAACAUUAUCCUGCUCGAUCGGUUUAAAGCCUGCUCUUUUUUUCUUUGUUUUGUUCUAAAUAAAAUUUUUGUUAUCUAUUCUGUAAGACAGAGGAAUGUGAGAUGAAAGCUGACAUGUUGAUGUAAUCUCUUGCUCACUUUCUUUCUCUUUCUGUCAUUUUUAUAUGACAGACCAGUUUUUUUUUUAUCAAUAAUAAGCACAAACCUUGACUUUUAAAGUAAAGCAUUUUCAUCUUUUCAUGCAUCG
Molecule: long non-coding RNA, 528 nt
Organism: Astatotilapia calliptera (eastern happy)
Lineage: Eukaryota; Metazoa; Chordata; Actinopteri; Cichliformes; Cichlidae
Source: Ensembl